RNAcentral lists this ribosomal RNA (886 nucleotides) under Pseudomonas sp. RNAcentral describes it as "bacterial SSU rRNA". It matches the Rfam family "Bacterial small subunit ribosomal RNA", at positions 26 to 893 of the family's 1533-position model. Lineage: Bacteria; Pseudomonadati; Pseudomonadota; Gammaproteobacteria; Pseudomonadales; Pseudomonadaceae. The record is from RNAcentral.
GGGGGAACCCUUGUAUUUGGGGGGGGCGGCUAACACAUGCAAGUCGAGCGGAUGCAAUGUGCGAGCCUUGCUCCUGGAUUCAGCGGCGGACGGGUGAGUAAUGCCUAGGAAUCUGCCUGGUAGUGGGGGAUAACGUCCGGAAACGGGCGCUAGUACCGCAUACGUCCUGAGGGAGAAAGUGGGGGAUCUUCGGACCUCACGCUAUCAGAUGAGCCUAGGUCGGAUUAACUAGUUGGUGGGGUAAAGGCCUACCAAGGCGACGAUCCGUAACUGGUCUGAGAGGAUGAUCAGUCACACUGGAACUGAGACACGGUCCAGACUCCUACGGGAGGCAGCAGUGGGGAAUAUUGGACAAUGGGCGAAAGCCUGAUCCAGCCAUGCCGCGUGUGUGAAGAAAGUCUUCGGAUUGUAAAGCACUUUAAGUUGGGAGGAAGGGCAGUAAGUUAAUACCUUGCUGUUUUGACGUUACCAGCGGAAUAAGCACCGGCUAACUUCGUGCCAGCAGCCGCGGUAAUACCAAGGGUGCAAGCGUUAAUCGGAAUUACUGGGCGUAAAGCGCGCGUAAGUGGUUCAGCAAGUUGGAUGUGAAAUCCCCGGGCUCAACCUGGGAACUGCAUCCAAAACUACUGAGCUAGAGUACGGUAGAGGGUGGUGGAAUUUCCUGUGUAACGGUGAAAUGCGUACAUAUAGGAAGGAACACCAGUGGCGAAGGCGACCACCUGGACUGAUACUGACACUGAUGUGCGAAAGCGUGGGGAGCAAACAGGAUUAGAUACCCUGGUAGUCCACGCCGUACACGAUGUCUACUAGCCCUUGGGAUCCUUGAGAUCUUAUUGGCGCAGCUAACGCGAUAAAUCCAACCGCCUGGGUAGUAGGGCCCUCACGG